Parus major (Great Tit) is the source of this 2597-nucleotide RNA transcript. It is a transcript of the gene named RNA exonuclease 5, with no coding region annotated. Lineage: Eukaryota; Metazoa; Chordata; Aves; Passeriformes; Paridae. The record is from RefSeq and is a predicted model, not a curated record. The transcript is spliced from 19 exons.
CUGCGCCGGGCCGUGAGGGGCCGCCUGACCCCGCCGCUCCCGUGCGGGCCAUGGCGAAGGGGCUGUGCCUCAAUGGGCGCAAGCGGCCCGGCGAAGCCGCGGAGGGGCCGCGGGCGGCGCGGAAGAGGCGGAAAGCAGAUGGCGGCGGCCCGGGCCUGGGCCGCGAGGAAAAGUCGUGUCAUUUGUCAGCAGCUCUGCUUGGCGAGGACUCCGAAAUCAGCCAGGACCACCUGUAUGAGCUGCUGAAAUAUGCAGCUCUGGGGAAAUGCCACAGUGCAGCACAGCCCAGCUGGUGCCAUAUUUAUCACCAAAGCCACCUGGCUGGGGUUGUGGUUGUUGUUCUACAUGAAAUGAGCCAACUCCAUUUCUACAGAUUCUAUUUACAGUUCAAGCACCUCAGGAAAGUGUUCCGGCACAGAUUCACACUAGCACCUUCCGAUAACUUCCCAGUCAGCCUGUAUGGAGAAAGAACAAACCUGAAACCUCAAAACACUCCACAAGGUUUGACUUCCACCAGCAGUGAAUGCAUUGUUAAAAGCUCAGACUUGCAAUGUGAUCCCAUCAUUCAGAGAUAUGGAGAAAAAAAAAAAGGCCUUACAAGCUAUACUCUAACUUUAGAAGAGCAGAAAAGAAAUGAUUAUCCCAUAGAAGGUUCCCCUGGAUGCAAAGGCUACAUCUCCACAGAGUGUGAUGAGCAGAGGACAGACAGCAGCCCUCUCUUUGGUCUGGAUUGUGAAAUGUGCCUGACUGCAAAAGGGAAUGAAGUCAUCCGUGUGUCUUUGGUGGAUGCACAGGGUCAGUGCCUCCUGAAUGAGCUGGUCAAACCUGAGAGCACAGUGGUGAACUACCGCACCAGAUUCUCAGGAAUCACAAAGAAGAUGCUUCUUCCAGUGAAGACAAGACUGUCAGACAUCCAAACCAGGCUAAAAAAAAUGCUUCCCCAUGAUGCAGUGUUGGUGGGUCAUUCUUUAAAUUCUGAUCUUCAGGCUUUGGAAAUGAUCCACCCCAGUGUUAUUGAUACUUCACUGCUUUUUGCCAGAAGUGAAGGUCGAAGAUUUAAGCUGAAAUUUCUAGCCAAAGCUGUUUUAGGGAAGGAGAUCCAGUGUGAACAGAAACUUGGGCAUGAUCCUACAGAAGAUGCUAGAGCUGCAUUGGAAUUAGCUCAAUUCUUCAUUGAGCAAGGACCAACAAAGGUAGCAGAACUAAACUUGGAGAUGCUUCUGACAGCUGAAAAACUGGCUGAGGUCUCACAGAACAAAGCUGCUCUACAGCCACAAGGAUGUGGGUUCCAGAAACAGCUGAGUGAGCCUCCACCAUUUUCCAAACCAUGUUUUUUAGAUUGUCUGCAGGAGACUGGCCAAAAACCCCUCCUUUUGGGCAGACAGGGAUUAGACUCUUCUGGCCUGUGUCAGAGUAACCUGAGCACUUCAAACAAACAGAUUCUUCAGAGAGCCUUGGAAGAUGUUCCUCUGUCCAAAUUCAGUAUCAUUGGGUUCAGUUUGGGUCCAGAGUAUCUUGCAUCUCACCUUCAUGCUGGACUUUAUGAAAAGGUGAGAAGCAAGCUGACUGACAUGCUGACAAUUUACGCAGGUCCUUUUGACGAAAACUUUUGCAUGAAGUCUGUGAAGAAGGAAUUUGGGAGGUGUGGACCAAUCCAGUCCCUUACAGUGGUAACUGAAACAUUCCAGCCAUAUGUCUGUAUCCAGUAUGAAGUGCUGGAAGCUGCCCAGCUUGCUGUGGAAAGCCUGAAUGGAGCUGAGGUAGCAGGAUCCUGCAUUAAGGUCCAGAGACCAGUCACUGCAGCAAUGCUGGACUGCAAUGUUCUGAUUAAGGAAUUAGAACUGGAUGUAGAAAAUGAAGGUGUGAUUUAUGUGGCUGGUCUAAAGAAGUCAUUAACAGAGACAGACUUGCAAGAAGAAUUCAGCCAGUUGAAAGACCUGGAAACACUGUUCCUGCCAAAGGAUCUUCAGAGUGGAAAGCACAGGAACUGCUGUUUCCUCAGUGCCAAGGAGGGCAGGAACAGCAUUGCCAAAGCAUGUUCCCUUCUCUAUGCAUUUCAGAAUUCCAGAAAACCCAGAGUGCUGUGGAUGCCCUUGAAGCUAUAAAUGGAUGGACCAUGAAGGGUAGCAAGCUAAGAAGCAGGAAUGCCCUUGCUCCAGGUCACCUCUGGAGGUGGAUUUGGCAAAUGAAUCACAGCAAUGGGAAACAAGGAAAACAUAUCUUCUACGAGAAAAUGGAGCAGCUGUCUGACUCUGAGCAGGAUCUAAGGAAAAAGGUGAAGAAGUUAGACAACCAUAUCAAAAAGCUUUAUAGAAGCCUGCAAAGUAACACCCUGUGUGUUGUUCUCUUUCCUGGAGUGAACAGCACAAAUGGAUCACAAUCUGGCCUUGGUCUGAUGGGAAUAAAAGAUGAUGAAGGGAGGAGUGCUUGUUAAACUGCCAAGUUUUUAAGCAAAGUCUUUUGUUAAGAUAUUUUUAAUUACUUUAAAUAUUGAUGUCUUUGUAAAGAUCUCUUACCAGAAGAACAAUAGGCUUUCACUCUGUAUCUUCUACAACAUCUAAAAAUAAAAGCCAUUCAAAGUGUCUUAAAACACAAAA